CCUAAUUUUUCAAUUUUUUGGUGGAGAUAGGGUUUCACCAUGUUGGCCAGGCUGGAGUUUUGCCUGUUCUAGAAGCUUGUAUCAGUCAUACAACACCCCUUUGAGGAACCGUUUGAGGUGUGGCACGAUACAGCAAGUCAGCUGCCAAAGAGGGGCUUAGCCACAGGAAGUGCGUGCCCAGAACGGUAAAGGGGCUGUGGCCUUUCUUAUCAUCUCCACUCCCUGUCCCCCCCAUCACCUGCUCUUCGUGCUUUGUGAUAAUUCAGUGAGCUCAUACUCAUGACCUGUGUCCUCCAGCAUCUCCCGUGUCCCUCACAGCAGUUCUAUGAGGCUGGCUGCCCUGUUUGACAACUGAGGCCCGCAUCUUCCCCGGAAUCACCGACGUGUGGCUCUGAGCCCUGUCCCAGGGAUUUUCUCCAUCAGAGAAGAGGAGCACUUUGAGCUUUGAGAGGAGCAGCCCUCUGCAAGUGAAGUGGAAAAAAAGGAAGCAGGCGAGGAGGCCCAUCCAGACCCUCCCCCAAGACCCUUGCUGAAAUGGCUGGGAUGCGGCGUGCAGAAGCUCUCCUUUCCUUCACAGCCCCUGGCUUUCCAAGAGUCCCUGCCCACCCAGAUGCCCGCUGGCAGAUGCAGCCUCAUCUCAAGGACACUGCUUGCUGGAUAAAUCCCUCACCACCCUAGAGACAGCCCACGGUCCUGAGACAAGGAUGCGGGCCAGGCUUGUUGCACGUAAGCGCCUCCCGCAGAAACCAGUGAGGCCGGAGUUCCAGAGGAAAUGAUGUAGGGACAGAGGCAGAGGGCCUCCAGGAGGCACCAGCCCCAGAGUCUUCCCUAGAAUCAGACUUUAAGCACAAGCAGGGAGGGAAAGCACUUGAGCAGUGCCCGUCCCUGCAUACCUGGCCUCUGCUGGAACCCAUGCAGGGACAGGACACUUCUUUAUCAGCAAUCCUGUUCCUCUCCUGGGCAGCUUCAACCUGAACAUCCUCCUUCACCUUGAGCUAAAAUGGGUUUCUUGUCACCCUUGCCCAUCAAACCUGGCCUUGCCCUCAGGAACCACACAGGACAAGCCUAAUACUUCCUUCUUGUGGCAACACUUUAGCAAUUGAGACCUGGCUGUCAGGUCCUCCAAAUAAACAUUUGUGACUGUGAUGUUGACUUGCCGCUUCUGGGGACCUCUUCUCAUUUGAUCGGAGAA
Molecule: long non-coding RNA, 1192 nt
Filed under: Homo sapiens (human)
Lineage: Eukaryota; Metazoa; Chordata; Mammalia; Primates; Hominidae
Description: non-protein coding LINC01569:18
Source: RNAcentral